GAAACCUGCCCAAUGGUUAUAAGAAAUUUUUCAUAAAUUAAAAAAAAUUAAAAAACUAAAUGGCUGCAGUAACUAUGACUGUAUGAAUGUAGCAUAAUAAUUCGCCACUUAAUUAGUGGAUAGUAUGAAUGGUUAAACGAAAAUUUCUCUGUCUUAUAAAAUAAAAAAAAAAUUUAAAUCAUAGUUAAGAUGCUAUGUAAUAUUGUAAGACGAAAAGACCCUAUAAAGCUUAACUACAAUUCUUUAUAUAAAUAUAUUAAAAAAUAUAAAAAAAUUAAUAAAGAAAGGCUAGUUUCAUUGGGGCGAUGAUCUCUAAAAAAAAACAGAGACACACUAAAUUAAUAAGGAAAAAAUUAAUUAACUGUUUAAUUAAUCAAUUUAACAGUUACAAAGUAGGGUAUAAUGACCCAUUAUUAUCUUAAAAAAGAAAUAAUGAUUAAUAAAUAAAAGCUACUUUAGGGAUAACAGGAUAAUAUUUUCCUAGAGUUCAUAUCGAAGAAAAAGUUUAUCACCUCGAUGUUGAAUUAAGAUAACCUAAUGGCGCAGC
Molecule: ribosomal RNA, 547 nt
Filed under: Lytocarpia myriophyllum
Lineage: Eukaryota; Metazoa; Cnidaria; Hydrozoa; Leptothecata; Aglaopheniidae
Description: partial 16S ribosomal RNA
Rfam family: Bacterial large subunit ribosomal RNA
Source: RNAcentral